GUGAAUCAUCGAAUCUUUGAACGCAAAUUGCACUCGCUACGGAGAGUAUGCCUGUUCGAGGGUCAGCCUAAAUAAAAUCGACAUAGUCGCUGUUUCGCGGUGACAUUCGUCGGACAUCGGGUCAUAUUAAACCUUUGGGUUUUAAGCGGCUUACAUUGUUCUUUACGAUUCUACGACCGUUUCUAAGAUUUACUUAGGCGCUCAAGGAAUCGAU
This 214-nucleotide unclassified non-coding RNA is filed under the name Glomus sp. RNAcentral's name for it is "partial contains 5.8S ribosomal RNA and internal transcribed spacer 2". The stretch from base 1 to 65 matches the Rfam family "5.8S ribosomal RNA", at positions 84 to 154 of the family's 154-position model. Lineage: Eukaryota; Fungi; Glomeromycota; Glomeromycetes; Glomerales; Glomeraceae. The record is from RNAcentral.